UACGGAGGGUGCGAGCGUUUAUCGGAAUUACUGGGCGUAAAGCGCGCGUAGGCGGCUUGAUAAGUCGGAUGUGAAAUCCCCGGGCUCAACCUGGGAACUGCAUCCGAUACUGUUAAGCUGGAGUACGAUAGAGGAUGGUAGAAUUUCUAGUGUAGCGGUGAAAUGCGUAGAUAUUAGAAGGAAUACCGGUGGCGAAGGCGGCCAUCUGGAUCGAUACUGACGCUGAGGUGCGAAAGCGUGGGGAUCAAACAGG
This 253-nucleotide ribosomal RNA is filed under the name uncultured bacterium. Its description in RNAcentral is "partial 16S ribosomal RNA". It matches the Rfam family "Bacterial small subunit ribosomal RNA", at positions 524 to 776 of the family's 1533-position model. The record is from RNAcentral.